UGUGUUUGCAAAGUAUGCCGAACAUUCGAUCCCAUAUUGCUCGUUUAAAUUAAGGUGCACGAAGUCAACCCGUCCCCUUUUCGCUUAAGCUUCGUGCAUCCCGUCUCCAGUAAAAGGUAUAAAAUAAAGUGAAAUGUCUUUCUUAUAAUUCAGUCUCUGUAUCUGUGAUAUUAGAACAACCGCCUACUACACAUCUAUUCGGCAAUUUUUCAGUUUCGCGAUUUUUAUUUGCGCUAUUGCCUCUUUUAUGAAGGUACAUGCAAUAGUAUUUCUAUAUUAGUGAGCCAGAUGAGUCCCUACUAUUACGUCACACAAAUUGUUUCGUCCCAGUCUCUUUUGCGCGGUUUUCAGAUUCUUCACAAGGCCUAAUUCAAUAUUUAAACUGCAAUAAAUUUUACACUAAAAAAGCAAUUUCGAUUCAGUUUUCGAAUUUCCGUAUAUUUUGUAUCGUAGAUUUCGAAAAUGUAACUACUCAUUUUGUGACAGGGACACUUUAAUAGUGACUGUGGCUUGAUAUACAACCGAUUCAGUGAUACAUUUCUUAGAUAGUGGGCACAGUUCUUUAUUGUUUCGGGGGCAACUACACAUGUCAAGGCUACUCGUGCUGGAAAUUGUGGACAACGUGGAUUUGUUGUGUCCAUCGAUAGUCUGCUUGAUGUUUGGCAUACAGCUGUAAUUCAUCUUGACUGAUUAUGGUUGAAUAUCUUGUGCAGUGGGUGAUCUGCGGGAAUUCCUCGUCAAUUAUUUUCAAGAAGGAUUGUCCAACAUUAGUCCAAAUAUUUUUACUAUAUGGUGGGUUAUACCAUAUAAUUUUUCUUUUACGGCUUCGCGGGGUAUUCCUGUUAGUUGUUAGGUUUAGGGGGUGUUUAAACUGUAGCUUGUGGUUAUAACCACUUUUGUCAAGAGCUUGCUGAUAUGACCGGGAGGCUUGUUCGAAUGAAUCUUGAUCGGAGGAUAUCUCGGUUAGUAAUGUUAUAAUGGAAUAUUACGUAGAACACUAUGUGGGCGGUUAGACUUACUAUGCACGUAAAGAGGUGUGUUGUUAGGCUUAGAGUAUGGUUGAUAUUUACCAGUGGCUAGAUUUAGUGUGACGUCAAGGAAAUUCACGAUUUUCUUGGUGCAUGGCCUCGAUAGUAAUUUUCGAACCAUGGUUGUUGAAUAAGGCACACAGAUCCUUCUUAAUUAGCUCUAUUUGGCGUAGUGUUGCUUUGAUAAUGUCCAAGCUGUCGAUAAAACCACCAACUUCUAUAAAAUGGACCCUAUAAAAAAUACAAAACCACCAACUUAUAUAAAAUGGAUAAAACCACCAACAUAUAUAAAACCACCAACUAAAAAACCACCUGCAACUUCUAUAAAAUAAAAUAAAAACACCAACUUCUAUAAAAUAAAACCACCAACUUCUAAAUCACCACCAAGAUAAAACCACCAACUUUAAGAUAAAACCACCAACUUCUAUAAAAUGGACCCUAAAUCUUAUAAUGAUCUUCUUCAUAUAAGAACAUUAUGAAAACCUAUAAGACAAUUCCGGCCGAGACAGUUUGCAACAUUGAACACGAAGCUAAAUCCAUCGCUAAAAAAUUAAAUCUUAAUGAUAUAAUUAACACCACAGCACAGAGAGAAGCCUUUGUUACGUUGAAAGAUCACAAACCCAAUUUUGAAAACAACCCGACUUGCCGCCUUAUCAACCCGAGCAAAUCUGAAAUUGGAAUAGUUAGCAAACAAACCCUGGAUAGAAUUAAUACGAAAGUCAUCGAAGCUACGUGCAUAAACCAGUGGGAAAACAUUAAAUCUGUGUUGUCCUGGUUUAAUAAAGUUACUGAUAAGAGCCAGUGCUCAUUUAUUGCAUUUGAUCUUCUUGACUUCUAUCCAUCCAUCUCAAUCGUUUUUCUGAAGGCUGCGUUAGAUUUUGCGUCCAAGUAUGAUAACAUCAUAGAUACAGAAAGAGAAAUUAUUUUACAUGCGAAGAAAUCGUGCUUGUACAACUCGGGAAAGCACCGAAGAAAGAAAUCAUCAUCCAAUCUAUUUGAUGUCACUAUGGGUAUAGUUUUGAUGGUGCAGAAUCAUGUG
Molecule: long non-coding RNA, 2067 nt
Filed under: Paramuricea clavata
Lineage: Eukaryota; Metazoa; Cnidaria; Anthozoa; Malacalcyonacea; Plexauridae
Source: RNAcentral